AGUUAAUUGAAAUCAAUUUUUUGAUAGUUAUUUUACUGUUACAACCAUUAUUGAAAUUUCACUUUAUUUCUAAUUAUCAAAAUAUCAAUUAUCAAACUUUACCACAUUCCCAUCAGCUUGUGUUUGUGAAAAAGGGGAAAACUGGGCCAUAGGAUUUUCCUCAUCCCAAUUUCCUCUCUCUCUCGCGCGCUCCCUCUCUCCCUUUGUUCACUUGUGCAUUCCGUGAGUAAUUGUAGGUACUUUCUGUGUUCCCAUUUUAUGCUUAUGCAGAUUUUUCAACCUGGUUAAUUUUAAUAAUUUUGCUGCUGUUGUUCCAUUUUCACCUACGGAUGCUAAUCAGUUUUAUGGGUUUUGAAUUCAUUGAUUGAAGAAUACAAUUGAAACACCAACAACCUAUCUAAUGAGCUCCAGGAAUACCCUUCUGCACAUUAUUUUCAAAAAUUAUAAUUAUGAUAUACUUUUUAUUUGAUCAUAGAACAGGAUAUAUCCUAUGUGGGGGACUGUUCUUUUUUGCCAUUUAAUAACACUGAGUUAAUUGUUCCUUGAUCACCGAAGUUUAAAAUGUUAAGUUUUGAUCACUGAACUUAUGUCAAUGUCUUCAAUUGCUUACCGAACUUAGGUCCAUUUCUUAGAUUGCUCACUGAAGUUUAAAAUAUUGAGUUUUGGCCACCGAACCUUGGAAUAUAUCGUACGUUAUUCACUAGCAAAACUGUUGAAUUUUGUAUAAUAUCGAGUUAUAGUGAGUAAUGUACAGUAUUUUUUAAAGUUCAGUGAGUAACGUAUAAUAUUUUUCAAAAUUUAGUGGUCAAAAUUCGACAUUUUAAAUUUUAGUGAGUAAUCGAAUACAUGAACCUAAAUUCAGUUAUCAAAACUCGACAUUUUAAAUUUCAAUGACUAAUAAAAAACAUGGACAUAAGUUCAGUGACCAUUAGAACAAUUAACUUAGUAGCACCCGGGAUUGGAGAGUAGUAAAGAAGAUAAUAAUUUAAAAUCUUGUUAAUAUAAUUUAUACUGUCUAGUUGUUUCUGUGCCAAAACAUGUCAUUAUUGUUUUCAUUGUUAUUCCCUCCUCAUUUUUCAUUAAUAGUAUGUUUUAAUCAUUUUAUGUUUCAUUUGGACGAUGUGAAUUCUUAAUUUUAUUGCAAUUUUAGUUCAGAUAGAAUAUAUGUUCAUUGUAAAUAACUUGCUUCUCUGUCAAAGUGGAGGGCAGUCAAGCUGAUUGGGUCGGAAAAUCCACCUUAUUCCCAGGCUAACUCCCCGGAUAAUGCUGCUGAUCCUUCCAGGUGAUCGGAAAAUAAAGAAAUGGUUAAAAAAAAAAAAAAGAAAAAGUUUUCGUAGGCGAAUAUAAUUUCGCACGUGAAGGGUGAUUUCUUGGUUUCGUCUCUCUAGACUGAAGUCUCAUCCCAGAUCCGCAGCUUGUAAACUCCGUGCUGAGACCCUUCUUUCAUCAUCAAAAAAUAAGAGAUUUUAUCAAAAUUUAUAUAUUUUCAAACUUAAGCCAGAUUUUCGAUGAGUUUUUUAACAGAAUUGUGGCUUGAUGUCUUAGUGAGUUAAUCUUGAAGGGAUUUCAAAGAAAGUAGCCACCAGUUGAGCCUAUUAACUUUGUCCUUUACUGUAUUAUCCUAUUGACUUGAAAUUGAUUAGUGAGUCUUAAUAUGUGCUCAAAUUUGGCUCAGUUAUGAAUCAAUGUGAACCUGAAGUUUAAGCAACUUGAUUAAUUAUGCAAUCCAAUCUAGAGAAGCUCAACGUGACCAUUUUGAAAAUGUACGAGGCUAAAGUGAGAUUAGUUUCAAACCACAUAGAUUGAAUGAGCAUUACUCAAAUGAUAAAAUGAAAUUGGCAACAAACUAAUCGAUUCAUCUUUAUUCUUUUCUGAGCCAUCAGCAAUGGCAGCGAAGCUACUAAUUUCUCCUCUCUUCUCGUUGCACAGUUCCGACCCAAGACCAGCACCACAUUCACCCAUGGCUUGGACGUGGACGCUUGUCAACAAGAAACAGGAGCCUCAUACUUCGAGUGUCGUCCUCCCUUGACAAUGAGAUUUUAUCAUCCACUUCUUCAGCUGUCCUGCAUAAUCUGCACCACUACCCGCAGUCUCUUACCUAUUGGCAGAUACUGCAGGAAACUCAUUGGCCAGUUACUAUACUUCUCUUGGUCUCUUUAUUAUUUCCGUUCCUGGCCUUUGGUCCCUUAUCAAGUGCUCAGUUAAAUCUAAGUUACCAAACUGUUAUGUCCAUUUUUACUCUGGACUAUACCAAAAUGCGAUACAGGAAGCAUGUUUGGCUAAGUUUAAAAAGUUCUACUCAUAAGUUCUAAAGUAACUUUUUACAUCGAUCAAAGUGAGAUAUAAGUAAGCUAUUCAUUUUGACAUAAUGAUAGAUUUACUUACAAAAUAAGUUUGUUUUUACUAAAGUAAGACAAAAUCAAGUUAUCCCAUAUUCGGAAAUUCGACGUUACUUAAAAGUAACUUUUACGUAUUUUAAGCUUUUCAAACAUGCUUUUAUAGGUUGAGAGUGAUUUUAUUUUCUUCAUCUCUGAUACGUUUUUUUAUUUUGCUUUACUUGAAACUAUCCAAAUUGCCUUUUCAUUCUUAGAACAGAUUGUGCAAAAGACAUUCAUAGGAGAAGGGAAGGGGGAGAAGGCUCCUAACCAAGUGGAAGGAGAAAUUCUUUCAUUCUUUACUUGAAAUAAUUUUGUGGUGUUGGAUAGAGGAGAUUCGAUAACGUAAGCCACUAAUUCUAUCACAUGUUCCUUAAAAGUAGUGUUUGAUAACAAAAUCUCUUUAUGCAACAACCUUGCAUGCGGUAAAUUUCAGAAUUGUAACGUUUUCACAUCUGAAGAAUUUCAAUGUCAAUAUUUAGUUCAACUAGAUGAAAUAUGACCAAGGGUUAAUGAGAACUUGCAGCACCAUAAAUUCUCAUGCUCAUAUACUUCAAUUGAUAUUUUCCUUCUCAGCUUUUGUAAUUGGUAAAUAGCAUGCUUAUCAUCAUGGUUUAUGUUAAUUUAUAGCUUAGGAGAAGUUUUCAAGUUCUUCCAUGUAUAAGAACAUCCAAAAAGCCACUUUUCCCGGAUGCUCUUCUUUUAGAAAAGUGAUGGCUAAUUCUUCUAUUACUGUUGGUUAUGCUCAACCAGUACCAAUGGGUUGGUUGUCUUUCAUAAUCACUUAACUGAUUGCAGAUCCAAAUGGUAGUAUACACUUAUUCUCCAACUAUGGAUUGCCCUAAACCGUUUUCUCUUAGACAUACAAAAAUUGUAAGAUAGCCAUGGUAAAAUUUAGUUUUCUUCAUAGUGAAAAACCUGCCAUUAUAAAACUCUGUUUUCUUGCAUGUUUCUGAUAUUUCGUUGUGCUUAUUUUUAUAACAUGUUUCUAUUUACUUUACGUUUGAAGGUACUAUGGUUCCAAGCCGUGGCCAAGCAGCAUUGCUCACUUUUUGUGCCAGCACAAGUCUGGCAAGUGUUGCCCUUGUUUUGACAAUUACUCUUCCAGACAUAGGAAACAAUUGGUUCUGGUUGACUAUAUUAAGGUCCUGUUUGACCCACAUUCUUUCCAAAAAAUACAUUCUUAAGUAGUGGUUUGAUAUCAUUUUAACCACAUAUUCUUCAAUAAAAUAAUAUUAAACACAAAUUCUGAACUUUUCCUUAUUUUUAACUACAUAUUUUUCAUCAAUACACUAUUCAAAAAUGCAUUUUAUAGAAAUAAUGUGGCUCAAACAAGGGCUAAGUCAUCUAGCGUUAGUUAUUUCCUCUUGAAACCGAGACUACAUUGUCUAACAUGUAAAAUGGAUUUGGGGAGUGUAUUAUUGGAUGAAAGCAUCUAGAAAGGAGCGGAUCAAGGUCAAAAUGAUAGUAGGAGAUGAUGGAACCCUGUCGGAGAUAAUUGUACAAGGUGAUGACCAACAAGUGGAGCAAAUGAGAAAGGAGCUCCAGUUCAGUGAAAAAGGCAUGGUUUAUGUGAAGGGCAUUUUUGAAAGCUGAAAUUAGAUGUCAUCUCAUGUCUUAGGUUGUUCUUUGUUUUGAUUUCUCAUAAGAAAGUUUUGAUGUGUAAUUUGUGUAUAAAUAUGUAUGUCACUAAUGUUCUAUUUAGAACGAGCACAACAUGAAUUCUUAUACACAUUUCAUUGUUGUGGUUUUGAACUAGUUUUCAAUGUAUCAUGUUUUUUAAAUUUAGUUUUUUGUUUGGUAAAAAUUAAAGUUUAGAUUUUAAUCUAAAUCAUAGUGAAU
This 4217-nucleotide long non-coding RNA is filed under the name Olea europaea subsp. europaea. The record is from RNAcentral. Lineage: Eukaryota; Viridiplantae; Streptophyta; Magnoliopsida; Lamiales; Oleaceae.